This 253-nucleotide ribosomal RNA is filed under the name uncultured bacterium. RNAcentral describes it as "partial 16S ribosomal RNA". It matches the Rfam family "Bacterial small subunit ribosomal RNA", at positions 524 to 776 of the family's 1533-position model. The record is from RNAcentral.
UACGGAGGGUGCAAGCGUUAUCCGGAUUCACUGGGCUUAAAGGGCGCGUAGGCGGGCCCGCGAGCCCGGGGUGAAAUCCUCCGGCCCAACCGGGGAACCGCCCCGGGGACUGCGGGCCUCGAGGGGGGUAGGGGCGUGCGGAACUAUGGGUGGAGCGGUGAAAUGCAUUGAUAUCCAUAGGAACUCCGGUGGCGAAGGCGGCACGCUGGACCCUCUCUGACGCUGAGGCGCGAAAGCCAGGGGAGCGAACGGG